AUGUCGACUGUUCCGCAUCGGAAACAACAGAUCAACGAAUCAGCGGACAGAAAAAUCAUCUGUUACUUAAGAAUAUUUUCAUCCUUGGUUGAGGAGGUAACUAACAUAUUCAUGUAUGAAUCAGUCAUUAAUUUGAGACGCUGUGGCCUCCUUGGUGACGUAAGAACCUUUCAAAGAAAAUGUCAAAUUACAGAAUUUAUUAAUUAUAAAAAUGUUUUCUAAUGUCUAUUUUCAAAAACACUGAUUUAGUAGAGGAUGAAGAAAAACACGAAUAUUUACUUCGACCAGUUUGAACUUGUGAAACUUAUUUCCGCUUUUUUUAUUAAAUUGAUUUUCAGAAGAAUUUCUGCUUAAUAUUCAGUUUAAUCUUCAUAUGUGUGUUUUUGAAAUUCGUCACGCUGAUGUGAACUUCUCCUGCUGUGUUGGUUGUGGUGUCGGACACCAGGGGGCGCUGCCGCCUCAGGAAACGCCUGCGAACGCUCGUCCGAGACUGUAAUUUAUUAUUUUAUCAUCGGAGCAGAAAACGACUCUGAUCUUGUUCGUCUGCAAUAAAUUAUUUCUGGGAUAAAAAUCUGCAGAGUGAGUGAUUAAUGUGUGGGUUUCAAUAUUUCUCUGUUUUUACUAAAGUUAUUACAGAACAAAGAGAGAACAAAUAAAAAUCUAUUUAAUUCACGUUGUAGUCUUUUGUUUCCUUCACACAGUUUGUAAAUCAUAUAUUUUAUUUUAUUGUUUUGAUUAUAACUGAUUUUUAUUUGUUAUUUGUGUGUUUUGUUGUAUGUAAAAUGUCUGACUAUAAUGGAAAGCCUCAAAUAUUAUUUUCUAAUUUAUGUUUACAAGCAGAUGUGAAAAUAUUGUGACAUAUUUUUUGUCUUCAUUUCCUGUAUGUAUGGAGGCCACACCCUCUCCUCUGAUUGGUUGACGCUUAAAAAGAAAUCAUAAUAUAAAUAUUAUUUCAAAGCAUUUGAUGCAAAUAUGAUAAAUUAACAUCUAUAAUAUAUAUUAAUAUUGAUGUCACUGCAUGUUAAAUAUUAUUUCUUACAAAAACAUUUUUUUAGAUAUUAAUAAUUUAUGAAAUUAUUGUUGGAUUUUGAGGAAUCUUUUUUCCCCCUAGUCAUAAAACUUUGAUGUCAAAAUACAUGUACACUUUCUAUAUUUAAAGUACAGAACUAUCACCAUCAGUUUGUACUUUACACGUCAUGUGUAAACAUGUAGUUAUUAAUAAAUAAUUAAUAAUAAGUAGCAGAAAACUGAACUGAAGAUCAGUCGUUGAGUAAAUGUUGUCGGUUACUUUCCACCAAAGCAGAGACAUAAAUGAAGCAGAAAA
RNAcentral lists this long non-coding RNA (1324 nucleotides) under Scophthalmus maximus (turbot). RNAcentral describes it as "lncRNA (ENSSMAG00000036555.1)". Lineage: Eukaryota; Metazoa; Chordata; Actinopteri; Pleuronectiformes; Scophthalmidae. The record is from RNAcentral.